UCUUGCGCCACUGAGCCAAGGGUUCCCGCAGGUAAUUGGAAAAGACCACAGUCAGUGAGGGAAACGCAGGAUCUAGUCUUCAUCCAGUCUCUCCGGCAAAGUAGUGCCGAGAGCGCCAUGAGCUACUUCGCGGACUCGGCGGUGAGCAGCCCUGCGCCUUACUGUGCAGCGCGCCCCGGGGUGGCGAGGCAGGGGCCUAUCAACACCUAUGAAGAUCCUCGAAUGGCCUAUGGUUUCCAGUCCGGUUAUCACCAGCAAAGAGCUUGUUACCCCUUCUGGGAUGAGAUGGCCACUCAGGAAGUUCCUACUGGUCUUGAAUACUGUGGCCCAGGUAGGAUCAUAAACAAAGGCUGGGAACGAAGAUAGAGUUGGAGGACAGCGGAAAUUUGAUCGGGCUGCAUUCUCUGAAAUAGCCAAUCCAAAAUCACAGCGGCCAUGGCUUACAUUGGUUCGGACACUAUUGUUCUCUAAUGGAAAGUCCCAGGGUUUCUCAAUAAUUUUGGGUUGCUUUGUUCUCCAGUGACAGGAAGGCUGAAUUCAGGAAUAGCUCCAAGAGAAUUUUCUGUUUUUUUUCUUUU
Molecule: long non-coding RNA, 578 nt
Organism: Loxodonta africana (African savanna elephant)
Lineage: Eukaryota; Metazoa; Chordata; Mammalia; Proboscidea; Elephantidae
Exons: 3
Source: RefSeq, a predicted model, not a curated record